This 645-nucleotide ribosomal RNA is filed under the name uncultured Basidiomycota. RNAcentral's name for it is "LSU rRNA". It matches the Rfam family "Eukaryotic large subunit ribosomal RNA", at positions 1 to 635 of the family's 3401-position model. The record is from RNAcentral. Lineage: Eukaryota; Fungi; Basidiomycota.
CCUCAAAUCAGAUGGGACUACCCGCUGAACUUAAGCAUAUCAAUAAGCGGAGGAAAAGAAACUAACAAGGAUUCCCCUAGUAACUGCGAGUGAAGCGGGAAAAGCUCAAAUUUGAAAUCUGGCUGCUUUGCAGUCCGAGUUGUAAUUUCGAGAAGUGUUACCCGUGCUGGACCGUGCAUAAGUCUUCUGGAAAGGAGCAUCAUAGAGGGUGAAAAUCCCGUCUUUGGUACGGACUCCCAGUGCAUUGUGGUAUGCUCCCAACGAGUCGAGUUGUUUGGGAAUGCAGCUCAAAAUGGGUGGUAAAUUCCAUCUAAAGCUAAAUAUUGGUGUGAGACCGAUAGCGAACAAGUACCGUGAGGGAAAGAUGAAAAGAACUUUGGAAAGAGAGUUAAACAGUACGUGAAAUUGUCAAUAGGGAAACGCUUGAAGUCAGUCGCGUUGCUCUGGGAUCAGCCUUCCUUUUGGUUGGUGUACUUCCUGAGUGACGGGUCAGCAUCAGUUUUGACUGCUGGAAAAAGGCUUAGGGAAUGUGGCUCUUUCGGGAGUGUUAUAGCCCUUUGUCAUAUACAGUAGUUGGGACUGAGGAACUCAGCACGCCGCAAGGCAGGUCUUCGAACACUUUCGUGCUUAGGAUGCUGGCAUAAU